GAGUUUGAUCAUGGCUCAGAUUGAACGCUGGCGGCAGGCCUAACACAUGCAAGUCGAACGGUAACAGGAAGCAGCCUGCUGCUUCGCUGACGAGUGGCGGACGGGUGAGUAAUGUCUGGGAAGCUGCCUGAUGGAGGGGGAUAACUACUGGAAACGGUAGCUAAUACCGCAUAAUGUCGCAAGACCAAAGAGGGGGACCUUCGGGCCUCUUGCCAUCGGAUGUGCCCAGAUGGGAUUAGCUUGUUGGUGGGGUAACGGCUCACCAAGGCGACGAUCCCUAGCUGGUCUGAGAGGAUGACCAGCCACACUGGAACUGAGACACGGUCCAGACUCCUACGGGAGGCAGCAGUGGGGAAUAUUGCACAAUGGGCGCAAGCCUGAUGCAGCCAUGCCGCGUGUAUGAAGAAGGCCUUCGGGUUGUAAAGUACUUUCAGCGGGGAGGAAGGGAGUAAAGUUAAUACCUUUGCUCAUUGACGUUACCCGCAGAAGAAGCACCGGCUAACUCCGUGCCAGCAGCCGCGGUAAUACGGAGGGUGCAAGCGUUAAUCGGAAUUACUGGGCGUAAAGCGCACGCAGGCGGUUUGUUAAGUCAGAUGUGAAAUCCCCGGGCUCAACCUGGGAACUGCAUCUGAUACUGGCAAGCUUGAGUCUCGUAGAGGGGGGUAGAAUUCCAGGUGUAGCGGUGAAAUGCGUAGAGAUCUGGAGGAAUACCGGUGGCGAAGGCGGCCCCCUGGACGAAGACUGACGCUCAGGUGCGAAAGCGUGGGGAGCAAACAGGAUUAGAUACCCUGGUAGUCCACGCCGUAAACGAUGUCGACUUGGAGGUUGUGCCCUUGAGGCGUGGCUUCCGGAGCUAACGCGUUAAGUCGACCGCCUGGGGAGUACGGCCGCAAGGUUAAAACUCAAAUGAAUUGACGGGGGCCCGCACAAGCGGUGGAGCAUGUGGUUUAAUUCGAUGCAACGCGAAGAACCUUACCUGGUCUUGACAUCCACGGAAGUUUUCAGAGAUGAGAAUGUGCCUUCGGGAACCGUGAGACAGGUGCUGCAUGGCUGUCGUCAGCUCGUGUUGUGAAAUGUUGGGUUAAGUCCCGCAACGAGCGCAACCCUUAUCCUUUGUUGCCAGCGGUCCGGCCGGGAACUCAAAGGAGACUGCCAGUGAUAAACUGGAGGAAGGUGGGGAUGACGUCAAGUCAUCAUGGCCCCUUACGACCAGGGCUACACACGUGCUACAAUGGCGCAUACAAAGAGAAGCGACCUCGCGAGAGCAAGCGGACCUCAUAAAGUGCGUCGUAGUCCGGAUUGGAGUCUGCAACUCGACUCCAUGAAGUCGGAAUCGCUAGUAAUCGUGGAUCAGAAUGCCACGGUGAAUACGUUCCCGGGCCUUGUACACACCGCCCGUCACACCAUGGGAGUGGGUUGCAAAAGAAGUAGGUAGCUUAACCUUCGGGAGGGCGCUUACCACUUUGUGAUUCAUGACUGGGGUGAAGUCGUAACAAGGUA
This 1500-nucleotide ribosomal RNA is filed under the name metagenome. RNAcentral describes it as "bacterial SSU rRNA". It matches the Rfam family "Bacterial small subunit ribosomal RNA". The record is from RNAcentral.